Petromyzon marinus (sea lamprey) is the source of this 103-nucleotide small nuclear RNA. NCBI's taxonomy places the organism in Eukaryota, Metazoa, Chordata, Hyperoartia, Petromyzontiformes, Petromyzontidae. The record is from RefSeq and is a predicted model, not a curated record.
UUGCUUCGGCAGUACAGAUACUAAAAUUGGAACGACACAGAGAAUAUUAGCAUGGCCCCUGCGCAAGGAUGAGGCGCAGAUCCUCUCUCUCUCCUCUCUCUCU